CACGGUGUGGCUCAGCUGAUAGAACGCUUGCCUAGCAAGCAAGAAACCUGGGUUUGGUUCCCAGCACUGCAU
Molecule: transfer RNA, 72 nt
Filed under: Cricetulus griseus (Chinese hamster)
Lineage: Eukaryota; Metazoa; Chordata; Mammalia; Rodentia; Cricetidae
Rfam family: tRNA
About the family: Transfer RNA (tRNA) molecules are approximately 80 nucleotides in length. Their secondary structure includes four short double-helical elements and three loops (D, anti-codon, and T loops). Further hydrogen bonds mediate the characteristic L-shaped molecular structure. tRNAs have two regions of fundamental functional importance: the anti-codon, which is responsible for specific mRNA codon recognition, and the 3' end, to which the tRNAs corresponding amino acid is attached (by aminoacyl-tRNA synthetases). tRNAs cope with the degeneracy of the genetic code in two manners: having more than one tRNA (with a specific anti-codon) for a particular amino acid; and 'wobble' base-pairing, i.e. permitting non-standard base-pairing at the 3rd anti-codon position.
Source: Rfam by way of RNAcentral